CAGUGCCCAGAGAGGGGGUGCAGGCUGAGGAGCUGCCCAGAGCACCGCUCACACUCCCAGAGUACCUGAAGUCGGCAUUUCAAUGACAGGUGACAAGGGUCCCCAAAGGCUAAGCGGGUCCAGCUAUGGUUCCAUCUCCAGCCCGACCAGCCCGACCAGCCCAGGGCCACAGCAAGCACCUCCCAGAGAGACCUACCUGAGUGAGAAGAUCCCCAUCCCAGACACAAAACCGGGCACCUUCAGCCUGCGGAAGCUAUGGGCCUUCACGGGGCCUGGCUUCCUCAUGAGCAUUGCUUUCCUGGACCCAGGAAACAUCGAGUCAGAUCUUCAGACUGGCGCCGUGGCGGGAUUCAAACUUCUCUGGGUGCUGCUCUGGGCCACGGUGUUGGGCUUGCUCUGCCAGCGACUGGCUGCACGUCUGGGCGUGGUGACAGGCAAGGACUUGGGCGAGGUCUGCCAUCUCUACUACCCUAAGGUGCCCCGCACCGUCCUCUGGCUGACCAUCGAGCUAGCCAUUGUGGGCUCCGACAUGCAGGAAGUCAUCGGCACGGCCAUUGCAUUCAAUCUGCUCUCAGCUGGACGGUACCACCCCAGUGUACCCCAACUCUUCAGGCCAGGCAGAGAACAGCUGCUGCUACUUCCCCCCACCCAGUCCCUCCCAGAGUCUAUUUUAUCCUGCUGUCCCCUCUGAAGCAGGGCUGCUGCCCUGUUUUCCAGAAAUGUAAAGUGACUUGUCUAAAGUCACACAGAUGUGAGUCAUGCAGGACUUUGGGACUGCAGCCCUAAACUCCCUGCUGCGCCGGGUGCCAGGUCUCUCCUCUAGCUCUGCCCUACCUCGACUGUUCUAUGCCACACUCCCACUCCCCUUGCCCUAGCUGUCUGGGGGCGCUUAGGGUCCUGCUCCCAGGAGGCCAGAUUCCUGUCUCCAGCCCUGAGGCUCCGUAGGAGUUAGAGACCCCUGGACCAGGCUGGG
This 973-nucleotide small RNA is filed under the name Pan troglodytes (chimpanzee). RNAcentral describes it as "retained intron". Lineage: Eukaryota; Metazoa; Chordata; Mammalia; Primates; Hominidae. The record is from RNAcentral.